CUCAUAAAACUGAUUUUAAAAAAAUUGGUGUUGUUGAGAUAUUAAUAGAGAAAUCUUCUUUCUACUGUAUGCCCGGUGUGGGAGAAACAAGUGGGAAAUGCAGGUUGGGAGAAACAGAUGUGGCAGAAGUAGAGGCUUACAUUAGAUUACAAAAAAAAAAAAAUAUACAAAGUAUAAUCAGCAUGCUAGCACCUUGUUUAGCGUUUAAGAAAUUUAGCAUUAACAACAAUCAAUUAACUAAAAAUUUUAGGGUUUUAGAGCACUUUGACAAUAAUCACAACAGCUAAAUAACAUAGGAACACCAACCCUAGAGCAAACUAAUUUUACUGUUUAAUAAAAAUGUUGAAGAUUUAUAGGAUGGGUUACAAUGAAUUUGUCAUACUCAAUAUCUCUGAGUAAAAAUUCCUAACUCUGGUAAAUACUUGAAGGGCUUUGAACGAGCAGGUCCUCUGAAAAGAAUUAACACAGAUAAUAUUAAAUAAACAGAGAUUAUAUUGAAUUCAAGACUCAAACAAAAAGCACUGAAUGAUUUAAAAAAAAAAAAGUCACCUGAAAGGGCUUAUCGUAACAAAUAUCAUAUUAAUUAAAAGAUUUAGGGUACUGUAAUUUGUUAUUCAAUUACAUUUGUAAAUAAUACAAUGUUGCUUUAGUAUAUAGUUCAUAUUUAAAUUUUACCAUAAAAUAUGACAAAAUAUGACAAUACAUAAAGAUUUAAUGUUGCAGGGAAAAACAAGUGCAUAGAGAAAUAAAAAAAAACAACAUAAAUUAAAAACAUAAAUUAAAGAAACCUUG
This is a non-coding RNA of Biomphalaria pfeifferi, 792 nucleotides long. The record is from the annotation of a GenBank genome assembly. NCBI's taxonomy places the organism in Eukaryota, Metazoa, Mollusca, Gastropoda, Planorbidae.